ACUGAUGUCAUCUUGUACACGUUCUGUAUAAAAGAAGUACUGACCUCAGAGAACAUCAGAACUUCACUCUGCAGUGGAAAACAUUCAAGCUGAGAACAGAAACCUAGAGCAGAGAAAAGAAACUACAGCUGCAUCACCAUGAUUGCUCAGAUUUGUGUCGUACUCCUUCUUUUUGUUGCCGCUGGCAACGCACAGACCACUG
Molecule: non-coding RNA, 202 nt
Organism: Plectropomus leopardus (leopard coralgrouper)
Lineage: Eukaryota; Metazoa; Chordata; Actinopteri; Perciformes; Serranidae
Source: RefSeq, a predicted model, not a curated record